RNAcentral lists this ribosomal RNA (253 nucleotides) under uncultured bacterium. Its description in RNAcentral is "partial 16S ribosomal RNA". It matches the Rfam family "Bacterial small subunit ribosomal RNA", at positions 524 to 776 of the family's 1533-position model. The record is from RNAcentral.
UACGUAGGGUGCAAGCGUUAAUCGGAAUUACUGGGCGUAAAGCGUGCGCAGGCGGUCUUGCAAGACAGAUGUGAAAUCCCUCGGCUUAACCGGGGAACUGCGUCCGAUACUGGAGGGCUUGAGUGUGGGAGAGGGAUGCGGAAUUCCAGGUGUAGCGGUGAAAUGCGUAGAUAUCAGGAGGAACACCGGUGGCGAAGGCGGCUCUCUGGGCAUUACCUGACGCUGAGGAGCGAAAGUGUGGGGAGCGAACAGG